CUGGGGCAAACGACACAAGUCAGCAUUUAGUUUCUUGCUUUAGGAAGCGGAAGACUAAUGACCGAAGCUUCAAGACUUUGACAUGUGUGAAAACAUGAAAUGACCCUUGGCUCUUAUUGUUCUUGCUGGUGUGGUAUGUUCACGGCUGAAAAGAUGGUCAGAAGGGGAAAGGAGGAAGUGAGAAGAAAGAAACAGGGAAAUGCAGGCUGAGGAAUUACCAAGGAGGCAGGAGGUGGAGCAAAACACACCAAGCCUGGUGCCAAUCAUUGACAAUAUUAUGACCCUGCAUGUGAUGGAUCAGCUGACACCAUCCAGAUCGGUAAACUGGUUCAUCUGAUCUUGUGCCCUCCACCCAGGAACUGACUCAGCGCAAGAAGACAGCUUCGACUCCUUGUGAUUUCAUCCCUAACCAAUCAGCACUCCUGGCUCACUGGCUUCCCCCAACCCACCAAAUUGUCCUUAAAAACUCUGCUCUCCAAACGCUGGGGGAGACUGAUUUGAGUAAUAAUAAAACCCUGGUCUCCUGCACA
This 530-nucleotide long non-coding RNA is filed under the name Homo sapiens (human). RNAcentral's name for it is "PCED1B antisense RNA 1". Lineage: Eukaryota; Metazoa; Chordata; Mammalia; Primates; Hominidae. The record is from RNAcentral.